UCAAUUUAAGUCAUUUGUUUUUAAUUAUGUCAUCAAUCCAUGUUAUCCUAUUCAAGGGUGCAUAAUAUUAAAAACAAAACGUUUCUACCCUCUAUUUUGUUCAUCAACAAUUCUACAGACUUCCUAAGUUAGACAUUUAUCAACUACUAUAAAUACCAGUGUUUACCAACAAACCAUAAAAAGCCACCCAAGUACAAUUCUUAGAAUAAUUUGCAAAUGUUUAACGUUUCAAACUUCUGGUUUAUCAAUAGCAUGACUGCAACAUAUACAUGAUGUUCAGAAUCUCUUUAAACCAAAAAGGAUAGGAAGCAAAUGAAUCAUACAUUAUAGAUGGGACUGGAAAGCAUCCACUGUCCUGCCCAUAUAUAUGUCACAACAAACCACUGAUCAUGCAGAAAAAUUAAUUACUAUAUUGAUUUUUUUAAAGUAUGGUAUUUAAAAGUAGGUUUGUCAGUAAUGUCUGUAUAUCUGGAAAUAACAAGUGUUUUAGAUAACUAAAUACACAGCAAUCUAGAAAUCAUACUUAACAGUACAGGCUUAUUUUACCAUUUCAUGUCUACAAGCAUGAGAAAAAGUUUAUGUGCUCUAACUUUAGGUGGAAUAUAUUCAAAAAUAUGACAGAAAUGUCUGUCCAUCAAUAGUUAUAUGUAGUAUAAAAACAAAGAUCUGUUCACAUUUGCACACUAUUUAAUAACAACUUGCCACACACCAAGUGAAAACACAUAGGGGUGGUUUUAUAAUACUUCUAUUGGUAAUAUAGUUUUGGCCAUAGUUGUUCAACAUUAAUAGAUUUACUGUGUGUGUAUGUAUGCAUGCUGUGUAUUUGUGUGUUUGUCAAUAGGGUUAUUUCUAUACACUUAGGAAAGCUUGUCCAUUAUAUAUAUGCAGCGCUAAAAUGCUUCCCUGCUCUGUUCAACAUUUAACAUCCAAAAUUUAUACUGAAAUUUGAAAUUAUUCAAAUCUCAUAUUUAAAAAUAUGAAUGUAAAUAAUUUCUAUAUUUAAAAAAGUGUCUUAAAAAUCUCAAUAACAUAAAGAGACUUUCAACUAUAGAGAACAAACUGAGGGUUACCAUAGGGGAGGUGGAGGGCAUGGGUUAAUUAAGCGAUGGAUAUUAAAGAAUGCACUUGUGAUGAGCACUGAGUGUUGUAUGGAAGUGCUGAAUCACUAUAUUGUUCACCUGAAACUAUUAUUAUACUGAAGGCUAAACUAACUAGAAUUUAAAUAACAACUUAAAAAAAACCCACAAAAAUAAACAUCAAAAUCAAUCCUAACUCAUGAGGAUGCUCAAUCUACUAUAGCUACCUAUAUCAAUUAUAGCAAUGUUUUCACUUUUAACAUUUCAAUGAAAAUAUAUUUCUGAAAUUAUUGACAUAAAUUAUUUAUCUAACGUUUUAUAAAAUGACACUGACCUAUAUAUACACAAAUACUACUACAAUCUCCAGCACCAAAUACAUCCCAAAUAGAAAUGGUACAGUAAUUCAAUUUGCCAAAAUAAAAUGUUUUAAUUGUCUCUCAGAUUGGUAUUUCAAAAUAUGUGCCUAUCAGCAAAUUUUGUGCAGAUGUUCUAAAACAAAAACUAAGAUCUAUCAGUCUAUAUAAUUCAGGUAGCUAUCAAUACCUUCCAGCAGCUAAAGCUCAUAAGCUAAAACUCCCUAUAUCAUCCAUCACCAAACAACACAAAGAGCAGACUAAAGCUGAGUGAUAAUUAUUUGGCCAAUAAGUAUUCUUAUGCUAGGAUCCUUAAUAAAUACUUAUUUUAUAGACAUGUAUCCAAUACAUCUGUGUGUAUAUAUACAUGUGUGUAUGAAACCAACCCCUAAAAUCGAGUAUUAAAAGUUUAAAGCAGAAACUAUUAUAUAUUAUCCUAGCUGUUUUACACAAAAUAAUCUAAGAAUAUACACCCUGGACUUCAGCUGCCCAAAUAUUUACUAAUAGAUAAUCUGAAAACUCUUAUGGGUAAAUUUUCACACGAUAUAGAAUUCAUGUAUUUAUACAAAACAUGUUGAUAUAAUAGUUUCUAUACAUUAGGAAAACAGUAACUGUGCCUAUUAUAUAUACAUUUUAUAAACAUUUCUUUGUUCAGGCCAUAUUUAAUGACCAUAGGUUUGACAAAACAAUCGCAAACAUCCCCCAUAGGAACUUAUAAUCACCUAUACAACUAUAAGAGUAUUUUAAAAUAACAACAAUCCAGUUAUCAUUAAAUGUUAAAUUCCACUGACCUAUGAGAACUUUCAUAACCUGUUGUUUAACCACUUGUAGGAUUUACCUGGUAACCCUAUUCUGUUUGUAUACAAACAUCUGAAAACCAUGAACAAAGGCAAAUCAACACUUAUGACAUUUCUACCAUGAUGAUUCUUAUCUAAAACAAUAUUAAAUAUUAUAUUACACACUACAUAUUACCAUAACCUAAUGAUCUGAUGAACACCUGAGACUAGAUAUAAUAUCACUUUUGAGAAACAAAAAUGCCUAUCCUAAUAAGAUGAUACGUAUUUUUAGCAAUGCCUAAUACCAAGAUUAGAUGUUAAACAAUUACAUUAUAUAUUUUAACAAAAGAUGUAACAAUAUCCACUGAAUAGGAAUUAAUGUUGAGAGGCAAUUUAACAAUUCCACCCUUAAAACAUUAACAAAUUCCCACACCUGUACUAACAUUACAGUAUUAAUAACACAUAUGCAGGUUCCCAACAUCUGAGCAUGGAGUAAAACCUGGCUGUUAAAGAACUAUCUCUGAACUUAUGCAUACACAUAUAGCCCUCCAUAAUUCCCUGUUCUCUAACUUCUAAAUUCUGCUUUUGUUUUUCUAAUAUAAACAUUCUAAUAUAAAAAUUCCUCUAUAUUCUAACAAUUAAAAUGCCCCAAAUAUCAGCCAUCUCCUGCUUAAUAGGAUGUUUUAACACACUUUUUUUUUUCAAUUAUAUACAGGGAAAUAAAAAAGCCCAUCAAACAUGCAUAGAGGCAGGCCUCUUAUGCAACAAUUCCAUCUUGAAUAUUAAAUCUAAUACAAGUAGUAACAUAAAGACUAUUUACAGAAUAACAUCUACACCACACAGAGCAGCCUUAACAAUAUUACUAUGUGACAACUGCAUACAGAACAAUCCCCAUCCGCCACAAAAUGCAACAGCAAUAAUCCAAUCAGAUUUUAAAAUGUCCAUUGCCAAGAGGUAUCCUAACAGGUCUGUUUCUAUAACCGUGUAUUGAAAAUAUUUCCUAUACAUAUGUUAGCAAACUCUUUCUUAGCAAUCAUAAUACCUUAAAGUCACAAAGCAAUUACAUUUGGUUAUUUCAUCUAAAUACUCUCAAAAUGCACAUAAUUAAAUAGUACCUUACAUUUUUUCCUGAUUAAUAAAGACUCCCCAUGUCCAUUUCCUUUUUGCUACCCAUAAGCACUCAAACAAUGAAUCCAGAAUUGUGUAGAUCUUUACAAAACUGCUUCACUUCUUUCUAAAGUCUUUUUCAGAAAGAAGUCUUACCAAACAUGUUUUUAGAAACCUCCUUAGGAAACCAACUCUAUUAUCACAGCAACCACUUAAAAAAGGAUCUAUCCACAAUAAAGAUUGGCUUAUAAAUGUAGGUCUCUGUGCUUAAGCAUUAGAUUCCAAAAAAGAUUAAGCAAAGAAAGAAAACACAAUAAAAAACUAAUACAUGUUGAAUUUCAUUCUCUUCACCUCCUAAUAUCCAAUGAAUAGUUCAUACAUACUCAUCAUUUACUAAGUAUUUCACAUUUCCAUUUCAAUACCAUUUCCUAAUCAUAAUUUUCUUAAGCAUUUAAAUAAAUUUUUAAGCUAUAUAUGUCCAAUAAAUUAGUUAACAGAUUAGGUUCCUAGCUGUUUUAAAAUGGCAGGUAGGGGAAGAAAAAAAACGACUAAUAUUUGUGUUUAUCACGUAUGCAAUAAAUGUCUAAUGCAGGACAAUUACCGGUCAAUAUUUUGAUGGCAAGUUGAUACUCCAUAGAAUGAAAAAUACUGAGAUAUAUUUUCCAAAUCCAAAGACUGACAAUGAAAUAUAAAUAUUUGAAAAGAAAGAUGAAUUUCAGGAUAGUAUAUGUCUAAUUUAUUUUGUCUGUGAUUUUUGUAGUUGUUAAUGCUUCUAGCUCAAUUCAGGACGUGUGGUUUCUCUCCACAUAUUCCUAGAAGGCUGGCUUGUAUUUACUUGAGAUUGUCCACACUAGACCAAUACAACAAGUGCCAUCCAUUUGAAAAUCAUUUUCAAUUCAGUAGAAAUACGUUCACACACUUCCAUUUUGGGGAAUAAUUUGGAAUGAGAUGCUAUGAUGAUCAUGUGUACCAUGAAAUAGAGUAGAUGAUGUACAGAGUGUCUCUAUAGGGUCCUGGUCAAAGAACCCUUAAAUCAGCAUGAGGUUUAAACUUUCAUAGCAGUCCCUGUAAGUAAAAUUGCACAUGAUACUCCAAAAGAAUUUGAAAAUUACAAUUUUAUCAAUGCAGAUAUUCAGACUAUUCUCUCCUGUUCAUGUUAAUGGAGAAAAGGUAUGUACAUUAUCCUAAAUCAUCCUAAAUUUUAAUCACAUUGUUUUUUGCGGCACAAAUUUCUUAUUCAGGAGAUAAAAGUGAAAGAAGGUCACAAUAUUUACGAAUACAAAUGUUCAGUGACUGAAAGUGGAAAAACUUCCAGUUUUAAGAGUGGCAAAAAAAAGCUCUUAAUAUUAUCAGUUUAUAUAAUCUUUGUCCUCUUCACUGAUUAUUGCUUAUUUCUAACACUCU
This 4716-nucleotide long non-coding RNA is filed under the name Canis lupus familiaris (dog). RNAcentral's name for it is "lncRNA (ENSCAFG00000053487.1)". The record is from RNAcentral. Lineage: Eukaryota; Metazoa; Chordata; Mammalia; Carnivora; Canidae.